CUCCAGCUGACGAGUCCCAAAUAGAACGAAACGCGCCUCUUGGAU
Molecule: non-coding RNA, 45 nt
Organism: Schistosoma mansoni
Lineage: Eukaryota; Metazoa; Platyhelminthes; Trematoda; Strigeidida; Schistosomatidae
Source: Rfam